Molecule: ribosomal RNA, 253 nt
Filed under: uncultured bacterium
Lineage: Bacteria
Description: partial 16S ribosomal RNA
Rfam family: Bacterial small subunit ribosomal RNA
Source: RNAcentral
UACGAAGGGGGCGAGCGUUGUUCGGAAUUACUGGGCGUAAAGGGCGCGUAGGCGGUCCUUCAAGUCAGGCGUGAAAGCCCCGGGCUCAACCUGGGAACCGCGCUUGAGACUGGCGGACUCGAGUUCGGGAGAGGAUGGUGGAAUUCCCAGUGUAGAGGUGAAAUUCGUAGAUAUUGGGAAGAACACCGAUGGCGAAGGCAGCCAUCUGGACCGACACUGACGCUGAGGCGCGACAGCGUGGGGAGCAAACAGG